RNAcentral lists this transfer RNA (69 nucleotides) under Nerita fulgurans. Its description in RNAcentral is "tRNA-Glu". The record is from RNAcentral. Lineage: Eukaryota; Metazoa; Mollusca; Gastropoda; Cycloneritida; Neritidae.
UUUUUGAGGUGUAAUUGCACAUUAGAUUUUCGUUCUAAAGGGGUGAACUGGCUUCAUCAAAAAUUCCCA